GGAAAAUAUUAAAAAAUGUAUUAAGUUAGAAGAAAAUUAGGAGGGAGAAAAUAAAAGGAGAAACCAAUCCAUAUUUUUACUUGUCUGCACAUGAUGGCAGUGUGCCCAAAGAAUGAUAGGCGCACGCCAAUCAUCUACUAGUUCUUUUUCAAGGGCAAACGAUGCUCAGAAAAACAAGUUAUGCGAGACGGUUGCAUAUGAAAAUACAUUAUCACACACAAGGAAAAAUACUCAGCUUGAUAUUUAGUUCCCUUUAACAAACGUAAGUCCUAACAUGAAAAGCAACUAAACCUCAUCCAACGUCAAUAAAACUCCAGAAAAUAACCAAAAAAAAUUUCAAAGCUCUUAUGCAACAGUUUGGGCUGCUGCAAGCCUCUUCCUAGCCUCCUCAAUGAUAGACAACUUAAUACCCUUACCCUUGGGAAGAGAGACCCAUGGUUUAGUCCCCUUUCCUAUGGUGAAGACAUUGCCCAAACGAGUCGCAAACUCAUGGCCAGUUGCGUCUUGGAUAUGAAUAGUUUCAAAACUCCCCUUGUGC
Molecule: unclassified non-coding RNA, 538 nt
Filed under: Hevea brasiliensis (rubber tree)
Lineage: Eukaryota; Viridiplantae; Streptophyta; Magnoliopsida; Malpighiales; Euphorbiaceae
Source: RNAcentral